UCUAAAAUGAAAGUAAUAUUAUAGAUCUAGUGAAAAUACGAAUUCUGACAGCUCAUUAGUUUGGUAGCACGUUCUACUGAGGAACAUCUGGCAUGCAUCACGGGUUUGAGCAUACUCAACAUCAUGUUUUAAUUUUGAAUAUCAUGAACAGUGAACUGUGUAUUAAGUUUAGGAUAUGUGUGCAACUAAAUCAUUUCAUUGGACACCUUGACUGUCCAUUAUAUUACCCAGGUCCUUGAGCUAUUGUACAUGGCUGGGGCCAUGGGAGACAGUGUUGGUGGCUGUGGGGUUGAGUGGGUCACUCAAGCGGAGCAGGAGCCUCACUAGUUGUUCUAGGUUACCCCCAUGAAUGGUAUAUAGAGCUUUUUAAGCCAAUUUCUUCCAUCGAAAUUCAUCCAAAAAUGGGUUUGAUCAUAUGUUAUUACUUAAUAAAAUGUGUAACAAUUGGCAGAUUUAAAAAAGUAACUGAAUCAUUCUCAAUAAGUCAAUUACCACAAAUUUAAAAAUCUAUGCAUCAAAAAUAAACACUUGGCUAAAAAAUUGCAUUAAGUUUGGCUUAUUUCUCCAUUAUCUUUUAAGAAGUCACCUUUGGCACCCUGAUGAUGCAUUAUGUCUUUGAGACACUCUUCUUGGUUCCUAAUACGUUCACUGACAGAUUUUUGCUGGAAUCACCCAGGCCACAAACUAACCUUCUGUCCUUCAUGUUCAGCCUAUGCUCAAGAUCAAAAAUCUCAGAGAUUCAACUUGAUAUCAGUGUUGCAGUGUGUGAAGAACGUACGAAAUCCCCGAACAAUGAGUUUUCAUCAGCCUGUAAACCUCAAUGACUAUGAUGAGCCCAGCCCCUACUAACCUGCUAUGGACAUAGGCACACAGGGCUGCUGAGAAGGGGAUCUUCCUUUCUCAAAAUAAAUAAAGG
Non-coding RNA from Macaca mulatta (Rhesus monkey), 916 nucleotides. The record is from RefSeq and is a predicted model, not a curated record. Lineage: Eukaryota; Metazoa; Chordata; Mammalia; Primates; Cercopithecidae.